UAUUUUCUGAUAGUAUAGUAGUAUAUUUACCUUCCAAGUAAAAGGUCCAUUAAUGGGCAGGGUUU
This 65-nucleotide transfer RNA is filed under the name Sagaminopteron nigropunctatum. RNAcentral describes it as "tRNA-Gly". Lineage: Eukaryota; Metazoa; Mollusca; Gastropoda; Cephalaspidea; Gastropteridae. The record is from RNAcentral.